GUUUACGUUAUUUAAGAAAUUAUUUUGAAUACAUUUUUUUUUCUACUCUUCUGGUUGGCAUGUAAUUCAGUUACAAGCCUUUUGUCAUCUCAGUUUUCCUGCAGGGUUUAUGAUCGAUAUUAGCAGCGAUGUCGAUUGUUCUUCAAAAUUAUCUAUAGUUGCAAAAUAAAUGGUUUUCAUUGUCUAUGUAGAAAGAAGGAAGAAAAACAGAAUGAAUGAAUGCAUAAUGGAUUUACAGUGCUUGUACCUGGGGAAUAGCAUUUUUUUCUGAAAAACGCAUCAGCUGUUUCUAGACGACAUACAACUUGUGGAGACUAGGAAAAUCAAACUUAUACCGUAAACUUUUGUCAAAUAUGUAAAUGACAUUUCUUUUUUGAAUAGAAGGUUUUCAAAUAAGAUUGCUUGAAAAUUUCA
Non-coding RNA from Bactrocera oleae (olive fruit fly), 414 nucleotides. The record is from RefSeq and is a predicted model, not a curated record. NCBI's taxonomy places the organism in Eukaryota, Metazoa, Arthropoda, Insecta, Diptera, Tephritidae.